AACGGCGAGUGAAGCGGCAACAGCUCAAAUUUGAAAUCUGGCCUCCUUCGGUGGUCCGAGUUGUAAUUUGCAGAGGGUGCUUUGGCGUUGGCGGCGGUCUAAGUUCCUUGGAACAGGACGUCACAGAGGGUGAGAAUCCCGUACGUGGUCGCCCGUCUUCGCCGUGUAAAGCCCCUUCGACGAGUCGAGUUGUUUGGGAAUGCAGCUCUAAAUGGGAGGUAAAUUUCUUCUAAAGCUAAAUACUGGCCAGAGACCGAUAGCGCACAAGUAGAGUGAUCGAAAGAUGAAAAGCACUUUGGAAAGAGAGUCAAAAAGCACGUGAAAUUGUUGAAAGGGAAGCGCUUGCAGCCAGACUUGCCCGUAGUUGCUCACCCGGACUUUUUGCCCGGGGCACUCUUCUGCGGGCAGGCCAGCAUCAGUUUGGGCGACCGGAUAACGGCCUCUGUCACGUAUCAUCCUUCGGGAUGACCUUAUAGGGGAGGCGUAAUGCGGCCAGCCUGGACUGAGGUCCGCGCAUCUGCUAGGAUGCUGGCGUAAUGGCUGUAAGCGGCCCGUCUUGAAACACGGACCAAGGAGUCUAACAUCUAUGCGAGUGUUUGGGUGUCAAGCCCGGGCGCGCAAUGAAAGUGAACGGAGGUGGGAACCCUCUCGGGGGUGCACCAUCGACCGAUCCUGAUGUUCUCGGAUGGAUUUGAGUAAGAGCAUAGCUGUUGGGACCCGAAAGAUGGUGAACUAUGCUUGAAUAGGGUGAAGCCAGAGGAAACUCUGGUGGAGGCUCGCAGCGGUUCUGACGUGCAAAUCGAUCGUCAAAUUUGGGCAUAGGGGCGAAAGACUAAUCGAACUA
This 844-nucleotide ribosomal RNA is filed under the name Poaceascoma aquaticum. RNAcentral describes it as "partial large subunit ribosomal RNA". It matches the Rfam family "Eukaryotic large subunit ribosomal RNA", at positions 85 to 942 of the family's 3401-position model. Lineage: Eukaryota; Fungi; Ascomycota; Dothideomycetes; Pleosporales; Lentitheciaceae. The record is from RNAcentral.